This 330-nucleotide ribosomal RNA is filed under the name uncultured bacterium. RNAcentral's name for it is "bacterial SSU rRNA". It matches the Rfam family "Bacterial small subunit ribosomal RNA", at positions 568 to 898 of the family's 1533-position model. The record is from RNAcentral.
UUCGUAGGUGGCGCGGCAAGUUGGGAGUGAAAUCUCUGGGCUUAACUCAGAGGCUGCUUUCAAAACUGCCGUGCUCGAGUGCGAGAGAGGUCAGUGGAAUUGCAGGUGUAGCGGUGAAAUGCGUAGAUAUCUGCAGGAACACCCGUGGCGAAGGCGGCUGACUGGAUCGCAACUGACACUGAGGAACGAAAGCUAGGGGAGCAAACAGGAUUAGAUACCCUGGUAGUCCUAGCCCUAAACCAUCGGAACUUGGGGUGGCCCGCGUAGGCGGGUCGUCCCGUAGCUAACGCGUUAAGUUCCGCGCCUGGGGAGUACGGUCGCAAGACUGAA